This 244-nucleotide ribosomal RNA is filed under the name uncultured bacterium. RNAcentral's name for it is "partial small subunit ribosomal RNA". It matches the Rfam family "Bacterial small subunit ribosomal RNA", at positions 26 to 285 of the family's 1533-position model. The record is from RNAcentral.
AGAAUCAACGCUGGCGGCGUGCCUAACACAUGCAAGUCGAACGAGAAAGUGGAGCAAUCCAUUAGUAAAGUGGCGCACGGGUGAGUAACACGUGACUAACCUACCCUUGAGUGGGGGAUAACCUAGAGAAAUCUGGGCUAAUACCGCAUAAUACCUUCGGGUCAAAGGAGCAAUUCGCUUAAGGAGGGGGUCGCGGCCGAUUAGUUAGUUGGCGGGUAAUGGCCCACCAAGACUAUGAUCGGUA